AGGAACGUAUCAACGAGUGUGAUGAGAGAUGUCUUUCAGUUUUGUCAACUCUUUUAGAGGCGCUAGAGCCAUGCAAGAAUGUGCAUGUUCUUCGAGCAGGAUUGCGGAUACUAGUGAUCAGAAAGUCUGGAAAAUAGAACAUGUCUUCACAUUACAGACUGUGAUGAAAUAUAUUGGAAAAGAUGCACCAAUUGCUCUUAAAAAGAAAUUGGAGAUGAAAGCCUUGAGGAUUUGGACAGCUUUUCGCUUUGAAUAGCCAGCGCAUGUUGAGGUCCUGGCUGCUAUGGAUCACCGUCUGUUGUACUCCUGAAUGAGUGCAGUAAGGUGGUCAUAGAUAAUAUCCACGGUGUCCUUUUAAAAUAUUGAUCAGCAUCUUGCGGGCCUGCAAAGACCUCAGAUACGUAAUUCAGAUCUCUUUAAGGAAUAGCAGAUUAUGUGGCUACAACUUU
Molecule: non-coding RNA, 449 nt
Organism: Castor canadensis (American beaver)
Lineage: Eukaryota; Metazoa; Chordata; Mammalia; Rodentia; Castoridae
Source: RefSeq, a predicted model, not a curated record